GGUUAAGCGACUAAGCGUACACGGUGGAUGCCCUGGCAGUCAGAGGCGAUGAAGGACGUGCUAAUCUGCGAAAAGCGCCGGCGAGGUGAUAUGAACCUUUGACCCGGCGAUGUCCGAAUGGGGAAACCCAGUGUGAUUCGUCACACUAUCGUUAACUGAAUACAUAGGUUAACGAGGCGAACCGGGGGAACUGAAACAUCUAAGUACCCCGAGGAAAAGAAAUCAACCGAGAUUCCCCCAGUAGCGGCGAGCGAACGGGGAGCAGCCCGGAGUCUGAAUCAGCUUGUGUGUUAGUGGAACGGUCUGGAAAGUCCGACGGUACAGGGUGAUAGUCCCGUACACGAAAAUGCACAGGYUGUGAACUCGAAGAGUAGGGCGGGACACGUGGUAUCCUGUCUGAAUAUGGGGGGACCAUCCUCCAAGGCUAAAUACUCCUGACUGACCGAUAGUGAACCAGUACCGUGAGGGAAAGGCGAAAAGAACCCCGGCGAGGGGAGUGAAAAAGAACCUGAAACCGUGUACGUACAAGCAGUGGGAGCCUACUUGUUAGGUGACUGCGUACCUUUUGUAUAAUGGGUCAGCGACUUAUAUUCUGUAGCAAGGUUAACCGWAUAGGGGAGCCGAAGGGAAACCGAGUCUUAACUGGGCGUUAAGUUGCAGGGUAUAGACCCGAAACCCGGUGAUCUAGCCAUGGGCAGGUUGAAGGUUGGGUAACACUAACUGGAGGACCGAACCGACUAAUGUUGAAAAAUUAGCGGAUGACCUGUGGCUGGGGGUGAAAGGCCAAUCAAACCGGGAGAUAGCUGGUUCUCCCCGAAAGCUAUUUAGGUAGCGCCUCGUGAACUCAUCUUCGGGGGUAGAGCACUGUUUCGGCUAGGGGGCCAUCCCGGCUUACCAACCCGAUGCAAACUACGAAUACCGAAGAAUGUUAUCACGGGAGACACACGGCGGGUGCUAACGUCCGUCGUGAAGAGGGAAACAACCCAGACCGCCAGCUAAGGUCCCAAAGUCAUGGUUAAGUGGGAAACGAUGUGGGAAGGCACAGACAGCCAGGAUGUUGGCUUAGAAGCAGCCAUCAUUUAAAGAAAGCGUAAUAGCUCACUGGUCGAGUCGGCCUGCGCGGAAGAUGUAACGGGGCUAAACCAUGCACCGAAGCUGCGGCAGCGACGCUUAUGCGUUGUUGGGUAGGGGAGCGUUCUGUAAGCCGUUGAAGGUGGCCUGUGAGGGUUGCUGGAGGUAUCAGAAGUGCGAAUGCUGACAUAAGUAACGAUAAAGCGGGUGAAAAGCCCGCUCGCCGGAAGACCAAGGGUUCCUGUCCAACGUUAAUCGGGGCAGGGUGAGUCGACCCCUAAGGCGAGGCCGAAAGGCGUAGUCGAUGGGAAACAGGUUAAUAUUCCUGUACUUGGUGUUACUGCGAAGGGGGGACGGAGAAGGCUAUGUUAGCCGGGCGACGGUUGUCCCGGUUUAAGCAUGUAGGCGGAGGUUCCAGGUAAAUCCGGUACCUUUUAACGCUGAGGUGUGAUGACGAGGCACUACGGUGCUGAAGUAACAAAUGCCCUGCUUCCAGGAAAAGCCUCUAAGCAUCAGGUAACACGAAAUCGUACCCCAAACCGACACAGGUGGUCAGGUAGAGAAUACCAAGGCGCUUGAGAGAACUCGGGUGAAGGAACUAGGCAAAAUGGUGCCGUAACUUCGGGAGAAGGCACGCUGAUAUGUAGGUGAAGCCCCUGCGGGUGGAGCUGAAAUCAGUCGAAGAUACCAGCUGGCUGCAACUGUUUAUUAAAAACACAGCACUGUGCAAACACGAAAGUGGACGUAUACGGUGUGACGCCUGCCCGGUGCCGGAAGGUUAAUUGAUGGGGUUAGCGGYAACGCGAAGCUCUUGAUCGAAGCCCCGGUAAACGGCGGCCGUAACUAUAACGGUCCUAAGGUAGCGAAAUUCCUUGUCGGGUAAGUUCCGACCUGCACGAAUGGCGUAAUGAUGGCCAGGCUGUCUCCACCCGAGACUCAGUGAAAUUGAACUCGCUGUGAAGAUGCAGUGUACCCGCGGCAAGACGGAAAGACCCCGUGAACCUUUACUAUAGCUUGACACUGAACACUGGUCCUUGAUGUGUAGGAUAGGUGGGAGGCUUUGAAGCGUGGACGCCAGUCUGCGUGGAGCCGACCUUGAAAUACCACCCUUUAAUGGCUGGUGUUCUAACGUAGACCCGURAUCCGGGUUGCGGACAGUGUCUGGUGGGUAGUUUGACUGGGGCGGUCUCCUCCCAAAGAGUAACGGAGGAGCACGAAGGUUAGCUAAUCCUGGUCGGACAUCAGGAGGUUAGUGCAAUGGCAUAAGCUAGCUUGACUGCGAGAGUGACGGCUCGAGCAGGUGCGAAAGCAGGUCAUAGUGAUCCGGUGGUUCUGAAUGGAAGGUGGAGAAUUGAGGGGGGCUGCUCCUAGUACGAGAGGACCGGAGUGGACGCAUCACUGGUGUUCGGGUUGUCAUGCCAAUGGCACUGCCCGGUAGCUAAAUGCGGAAGAGAUAAGUGCUGAAAGCAUCUAAGCACGAAACUUGCCCCGAGAUGAGUUCUCCCUGAGACUWUAAGUCUCCUGAAGGAACGUUGAAGACGACGACGUUGAUAGGUCGGGUGUGUAAGCGCAGCGAUGCGUUGAGCUAACCGAUACUAAUGAACCGUGAGGCUUAACCUU
This 2691-nucleotide ribosomal RNA is filed under the name Enterobacter kobei. Its description in RNAcentral is "23S ribosomal RNA". The record is from RNAcentral. Lineage: Bacteria; Pseudomonadati; Pseudomonadota; Gammaproteobacteria; Enterobacterales; Enterobacteriaceae.